GGGGGCUGAGAGGCAUGGUAGAGCCCUGAGUUCCUGGGCUGGAAGUGGGCAUGAGGCUGUGAUAAAUGGAGCCAAGAGGAUAAUUACCAGUAUUUGCAGCAUCAGAAGAAAUUACAAUAUGAAAAGAAGGAAGGCUAGCAUGACCCCCAUACUGCUGGAUUGGAAUAAAAAGUAUCAGGAGCAAGAUGGUGGAAUAGGAGUUUUCUACUGUUGUCCCACCAUAGAACAUCCAUCUUGACAAUCACUCACAGAUUUCCAUUUGCUUAGUAACUUUCCAUCAGCAGCAUUGGAAAUAGGAAUGAGUCACCACCUACUGCAUGGGAUUAAGGAAUUAAAGGAGGAACCAAGCAAACAUGAG
Molecule: long non-coding RNA, 358 nt
Organism: Herpailurus yagouaroundi (jaguarundi)
Lineage: Eukaryota; Metazoa; Chordata; Mammalia; Carnivora; Felidae
Exons: 3
Source: RefSeq, a predicted model, not a curated record